Molecule: transfer RNA, 72 nt
Filed under: Pterocles gutturalis (yellow-throated sandgrouse)
Lineage: Eukaryota; Metazoa; Chordata; Aves; Pterocliformes; Pteroclidae
Rfam family: tRNA
About the family: Transfer RNA (tRNA) molecules are approximately 80 nucleotides in length. Their secondary structure includes four short double-helical elements and three loops (D, anti-codon, and T loops).
Source: Rfam by way of RNAcentral
GGGGGUAUAGCUCAGUGGUAGAGCAUUUGACUGCAGAUCAAGAGGUCCCUGGUUCAACUCCAGCUGCUCCCU